Molecule: ribosomal RNA, 244 nt
Filed under: uncultured bacterium
Lineage: Bacteria
Description: partial 16S ribosomal RNA
Rfam family: Bacterial small subunit ribosomal RNA
Source: RNAcentral
UACGGGGGGGGCAAGCGUUGUUCGGAAUUACUGGGCGUAAAGGGCGCGUAGGCGGCCCGCUAAGUCGAACGUGAAAUCCCCGGGCUCAACCCGGGAACUGCGUCCGAUACUGGCAGGCUUGAAUUCGGGAGAGGGAUGUGGAAUUCCAGGUGUAGCGGUGAAAUGCGUAGAUAUCUGGAGGAACACCGGUGGCGAAGGCGGCAUCCUGGACCGAUAUUGACGCUGAUGCGCGAAAGCCAGGGAG